GGAUACUAGGGUCAAAAGGUCAUGUGUUUCAUAUAUGCAUAAAAAACAUGACGUUGCUACCGCAGAGCAUGAGAAAGUAGGCCGAACAGGGUGGUUUUUGAGUGAUUUUAGGAUUGUGGGAGCAUGAAGUGCGUAAUAAUCCGUAGGUAUUA
RNAcentral lists this small RNA (152 nucleotides) under Anaerosporobacter mobilis DSM 15930. Its description in RNAcentral is "Clostridiales-1 RNA". It matches the Rfam family "Clostridiales-1 RNA". Lineage: Bacteria; Bacillati; Bacillota; Clostridia; Lachnospirales; Lachnospiraceae. The record is from Rfam by way of RNAcentral.